This 2017-nucleotide long non-coding RNA is filed under the name Brassica napus (rape). RNAcentral's name for it is "long non-coding RNA (BNAP_LNC017182)". The record is from RNAcentral. Lineage: Eukaryota; Viridiplantae; Streptophyta; Magnoliopsida; Brassicales; Brassicaceae.
GCUUUCAUGGAAGCUGGACUUAACCAUUGCUUGGCAAAGCCCUUAAGCAAAGCCAAGAUCCUCCCUCUCAUCAACAAUCUCAUGGAUGCUUGAUGGAUGGAUGAAUUGUCGCCACUACAUAUCUACAUUAUAUAAAUAUGAAAAACACAUAAUAACGUCAGCUUAUACACCUGUGUGUGUAUGCAUAUAUCUAUCUGCAUGUGUGUGUUUUAGGGUUGUUAUGUUUGAUUUUUAUCGUGCGUGGCGUGAUAUACAAUCAUGUAAGUCAUUACUUUUGGCUUAUAAAAUAAUGAAUAAGAUUUCUUAUGAUCAGAUGCAUUCGAUUUCCAUUUCAAUUAACUAGAUCUACUUGGUACAUUCAAUUUGCAAUCUGCUAAAAAUCCAUACCUAUAUUUAACUGAUCCGGAUUAUAGAUUACAACCGUAGAUUUUGAGGAACGUCUUCGUAGUUUAUCUCCAUUUUUUUUUUUUCCUUUCUCUUUUUCUCUAGUUAGAUUUUAUCCAUUCCAGACAAAACUACAGAUGUAUAACUUACAGAAAAUAUCAGACAUAACUUAACUACAUCUCAAUAUCUCUUUACUUGUGGUUAUUUGUUUUCACAUGCUUUUGGUUUAAGCCUUCUAGCUUUAGAGACUAACAAGGAAUGUUAAUUAGGAUUUUUGAUAAGAGUGAAAUUCACUUGGGGAAAGUCAACUUGUUAGAAAACUAACUAGUUUGUUAUUGUAUCUCUAUCAGCGUGUUAAUUAUUACUCUUUGUGGGUUGCUAGUUGCUACAAGUUAAAUUUGAUUUCAGCUUUCCAACUCGGAUUUAUUCCCGAUUUAAACUCAGUCUAACCGUCACUCCGGUCCAAUUUAAGAACAUUGGACACAACUAAACUUCCACUCACAAGUUUCCAAAGUUCAACUCUUCUUUUCACACAGCCAGAUUGGUAUGAUCGAAUCAUGGAAUCGUAUACGUGAACCUACUCAAAUACCUCACUUUAAUACAAGAAGAAGUUCAAAAUCUUUUAAUAACCACAACCCGGUUUAGGAAACCAAUCAAAAACAUCCCGGUUUAUCUUACCUAGACCGUAAUUCAUUAAAUAGCCCAUGGGCCUUUAAAAUCAUCAUAGUUAAGCCCAUUAUAAUUUCGACAUAUAUAAACAAAAAAAAAAAAAAAAUACACAUGCAUUAGAACACUUGUAUGUUAAUUUCCAUAAUGUUUUGUUUAAACAUUCUUCGUUUUAAUUAGAUUCUUUUUGUGUGAAGAUUGUUCGAAGAAGAAAAAACCGAAGAUGGCAACAACAUCCACGGGAGAUAUCGAGAAAACGAAGUCAGUAGAAGUGAAGAAGAAACUUAACGUGUUGAUCGUCGAUGAUGAUCCUGUAAUUCGUAAACUUCACGAGAUUAUCAUCAAAUCAAUCGGUGGAAUUUCACAGACAGCUAAGAACGGUGAGGAGGCAGUGAACAUCCACCGCGACGGCAAUGCAUCUUUCGACCUUAUCCUAAUGGAUAAAGAAAUGCCCGAGAGGGAUGGACUUUCGGUACAAUUAAAUAAUAAUCUUUAAUUUAAUUUGUGUCGAUCAUCACUACACUUAUUAAGCUCCUCUUUAAAAUACUUUUUUAUGUCCUUUUGUUGGUUUUGUUUAGGCAACUAAGAAGCUAAGAGAAAUGAAAGUGACGUCUAUGAUUAUUGGGGUGACGACACUGGCUGACAAUGAAGAGGAACGUAAGGCUUUCAUGGAAGCUGGACUUAACCAUUGCUUGGCAAAGCCCUUAAGCAAAGCCAAGAUCCUCCCUCUCAUCAACAAUCUCAUGGAUGCUUGAUGGAUGGAUGAAUUGUCGCCACUACAUAUCUACAUUAUAUAAAUAUGAAAAACACAUAAUAACGUCAGCUUAUACACCUGUGUGUGUAUGCAUAUAUCUAUCUGCAUGUGUGUGUUUUAGGGUUGUUAUGUUUGAUUUUUAUCGUGCGUGGCGUGAUAUACAAUCAUGUAAGUCAUUACUUUUGGCUUAUAAAAUAAUGAAUAAGAUUUCUU